GACCUCUUUCGGGGCGGGGCGAAAUUCCCCACCGGCGGUAAGUUCUCCCGAACAAGCCCGCGAAGCCCGCGCAAACCGCACCACGCGCCGGGCCCGAUGCCGCGCAACUCGGCAGCCGACGGUCACAGUCCGGACGAAAGAAGGAGGAG
RNAcentral lists this non-coding RNA (149 nucleotides) under Deinococcus radiodurans. RNAcentral's name for it is "FMN sequence". It matches the Rfam family "FMN riboswitch aptamer (RFN element)". Rfam says of the family: The RFN element is a highly conserved domain that is found frequently in the 5'-untranslated regions of prokaryotic mRNAs that encode for flavin mononucleotide (FMN) biosynthesis and transport proteins. This element is a metabolite-dependent riboswitch that directly binds FMN in the absence of proteins. The record is from RNAcentral. RNAcentral also lists the same sequence under 1 other name. Lineage: Bacteria; Thermotogati; Deinococcota; Deinococci; Deinococcales; Deinococcaceae.